UACGUAGGGUGCGAGCGUUAAUCGGAAUUACUGGGCGUAAAGCGUGCGCAGGCGGUUCGUUGUGUCGGCGGUGAAAGCCCCGGGCUUAACCUGGGAAUGGCCGUCGAAACUGGCGAACUGGAGUGUGGCAGAGGGGGGUGGAAUUCCGCGUGUAGCAGUGAAAUGCGUAGAUAUGUGGAGGAACACCAAAGGCGAAGGCAAUCCCCUGGGAUAAAACUGACGCUCAUGCACGAAAGCGUGGGUAGCAAACAGG
This 253-nucleotide ribosomal RNA is filed under the name uncultured bacterium. Its description in RNAcentral is "partial 16S ribosomal RNA". It matches the Rfam family "Bacterial small subunit ribosomal RNA", at positions 524 to 776 of the family's 1533-position model. The record is from RNAcentral.